UACGGAGGGUGCAAGCGUUGCUCGGAAUCACUGGGCGUAAAGCGUACGCAGGCGGCGCGUUAAGUCGGGUGUGAAAGCCCGGGGCUCAACCCCGGAAUUGCAUUCGAUACUGGCGUGCUCGAGUGCGGGAGAGGGAAGCGGAAUUCCUGGUGUAGAGGUGAAAUUCGUAGAUAUCAGGAGGAACACCAGUGGCGAAAGCGGCUUCCUGGCCCGAUACUGACGCUCAUGUACGAAAGCGUGGGGAGCAAACAGG
RNAcentral lists this ribosomal RNA (253 nucleotides) under uncultured bacterium. Its description in RNAcentral is "partial 16S ribosomal RNA". It matches the Rfam family "Bacterial small subunit ribosomal RNA", at positions 524 to 776 of the family's 1533-position model. The record is from RNAcentral.